RNAcentral lists this long non-coding RNA (886 nucleotides) under Homo sapiens (human). RNAcentral's name for it is "TTC28 antisense RNA 1". The stretch from base 81 to 237 matches the Rfam family "TTC28 antisense RNA 1 conserved region 2". The record is from RNAcentral. Lineage: Eukaryota; Metazoa; Chordata; Mammalia; Primates; Hominidae.
GCACUCUUGUCUGCUUACGAGGGCUCCUCCCUUCAGCUUUGGUCCCUCGGGGCGUCUGGGCAGCCUACGCUUUCCGGAUAAAAAUGGCAGAAUGAAAGAAUUAUGAGUGGAACUAGAGAAUAGGAAAGACAUGAACCAACGCCCAAAAUGAGAAAGAAGGACAUAUAAAGAAAAAGACAAAUACAAGUGAAAAAAAUAGACUAAUGGAUUAACGUCCCUGUCGUGUGACAUUUUCUGACUGGAAUCAGCCAUUUUACCAAGAAAGUUGGGUUUCUUUUACUGGCAAAUAGUACUUCAAGAGCACAGUCUUAUGUAAGAUUCAAACAUCCACAACUAAGGCCAUUAAAUUACAAAAGAAAAAAAAAAGACUGCCAUGUAAGUUACCCUAACUUGGAAGUAGCUAAUCCUGAAACUAGCAUGGCCUGGAACUUGGCUACUUUGGAGACUUUUUUGGUCUCUCUCCUAGUGUCUUUGCAUCUGUCCUGUCUUCCUCUUCGCUUCUCCUCUCUCUGCUUACGCAUGGCUUUUGCGCCUCUGUCACUCUGGGCUGCACGUGGUCAUGAUGGCCCACUGACCUCAGUUUACAUCACCAGCCUUUGGGUCUUGCUUCAGCUGCAAAUACUGGAUCUUGUCAAGAUGUUCUGGAUUGAAUUCAUGAGAAAAGGAAUCUGGUUGGCCAGUUCACAGGCGUUUUUCUGACGUGUCCCGGGGUUGGCUGGGCCAUGCAGUCUGUUUCCUGCUCUUGCCUAGUCAGCUGCAGCUGGGAGAGUAGAGUCCUCCAGUAGGAAACACAACUGCCUGGGUUCACAACUCCCUAGGCUGGGCCGAGGCAGUUCUGGGGAGGGGUGGUGAGUGGGUGGGUAGGGGCACAGUGGUUGUGUUUUCA